UAGGGAAUCUUCCGCAAUGGGCGAAAGCUUGACGGAGCAACGCCGCGUGGGGGAUGACGGCCUUCGGGUUGUAAACUCCUUUCGCUAGGGACGAAGCUUUUUGUGACGGUACCUAGAUAAGAAGCACCGGCUAACUACGUGCCAGCAGCCGCGGUAAUACGUAGGGUGCGAGCGUUGUCCGGAAUUACUGGGCGUAAAGGGCUCGUAGGUGGUUUGUCGCGUCGUCUGUGAAAUUCCGGGGCUUAACUCCGGGCGUGCAGGCGAUACGGGCAUAACUUGAGUACUGUAGGGGGAAGUGGGAUUCCUGGUGUAGCGGUGAAAUGCGCAGAUAUCAGGAGGAAAACCGAUGGCGAAGGCAGGUUAAUGGGCAGUUACUGACGCUGAGGAGCGAAAGCAUGGGUAGCGAACAGG
RNAcentral lists this ribosomal RNA (411 nucleotides) under Actinomycetes bacterium. RNAcentral's name for it is "Actinobacteria bacterium partial 16S ribosomal RNA". It matches the Rfam family "Bacterial small subunit ribosomal RNA", at positions 355 to 776 of the family's 1533-position model. Lineage: Bacteria; Bacillati; Actinomycetota; Actinomycetes. The record is from RNAcentral.